Molecule: ribosomal RNA, 500 nt
Filed under: uncultured bacterium
Lineage: Bacteria
Description: bacterial SSU rRNA
Rfam family: Bacterial small subunit ribosomal RNA
Source: RNAcentral
AAAGGAAUUGACGGGGGCCCGCACAAGCAGUGGAGUAUGUGGUUUAAUUCGACGCAACGCGCAGAACCUUACCCGGUCUUGACAUCCUUGGAACUCCCUUGAAAGAGGGAGGUGCUACCGCAAGGUAGAGCCAAGAGACAGGUGCUGCAUGGCUGUCGUCAGCUCGUGUCGUGAGAUGUUCGGUUAAGUCCGGCAACGAGCGCAACCCCUGUUGUUAGUUGCUACCAGUUCGGCUGAGCACUCUAACGAGACUGCCGGUGAUAAACCGGAGGAAGGUGGGGAUGACGUCAAGUCCUCAUGGCCUUUAUGAUCGGGGCUACACACGUACUACAAUGGCUACUACAAAGAGCAGCGAGACCGCGAGGUGGAGCAAAUCUCAAAAAAGUAGCCUCAGUUCGGAUUGGAGUCUGCAACUCGACUCCAUGAAGUUGGAAUUGCUAGUAAUCGCGGAUCAGAAUGCCGCGGUGAAUACGUUCCCGGGCCUUGUACACACCGCCCGU